Molecule: RNA transcript, 10417 nt
Organism: Chelonia mydas (Green sea turtle)
Lineage: Eukaryota; Metazoa; Chordata; Testudines; Cheloniidae
Gene: ZNF207
Gene name: zinc finger protein 207
Exons: 16
Source: RefSeq, a predicted model, not a curated record
GCGGUGCAUCCUGGGAAGCCCAGGGCUUCGAGGCGGCGGCAGGAGGGAGCGGCGCGGCCAUUUUGUCUUCCUACGAGAGGCCGCUGGAAGGCCUCCGGUUGGUGCCUGCUUCUCGCCUUUCUCUAGUUCGGUAGCGCCACCGCGAUGGGCCGGAAGAAGAAGAAGCAGCUGAAGCCCUGGUGCUGGUAUUGCAACAGGGAUUUUGAUGAUGAGAAAAUCCUUAUACAGCAUCAAAAAGCAAAGCACUUUAAAUGCCAUAUAUGUCAUAAGAAACUGUAUACAGGACCUGGUUUAGCUAUACAUUGUAUGCAGGUGCAUAAAGAAACAAUAGAUGCUGUUCCAAAUGCUAUUCCUGGAAGAACGGAUAUUGAACUGGAAAUCUAUGGUAUGGAGGGCAUUCCAGAAAAAGACAUGGAUGAAAGGAGACGGUUACUUGAACAAAAAACUCAGGCAGAGAGCCAGAAGAAGAAACAACAAGAUGAUUCUGAUGAGUAUGAUGAUGAUGAAUCUACAGCUUCCACUUCAUUUCAGCCACAACCAGUACAGCCGCAACAGGGAUACAUGCCCCCAAUGGCACAGCCGGGAUUGCCUCCUGUGCCAGGGGCACCAGGAAUACCUCCAGGUAUACCACCCUUGAUGGCAGGUGUUCCACCAAUGAUGCCAGGAAUGCCUCCAGUUAUGCCAGGAAUGCCACCUGGAUUACAUCAACAGAGAAAGUACAUGCAGUCAUUUUGCGGUGAAAACAUGAUGAUGCCAAUGGGUGGAAUGAUGCCUCCUGGGCCAGGAAUACCACCUCUUAUGCCUGGUAUGCCACCAGGUAGGUCAGUGAUGUCGAACUCAUACUGUGGUAUGCCACCACCUGUUGGUCCUCGUCCUGGUAUGCCUCCCAUGACACAAGCACAGCCUGUGACAGCACCAGGCAUUCUUAAUAGACCUCCAGUUCCUGCUGUAGCAGCACCCUCCCCACAGCCUCCAGUUACAAAACCACUUUUCCCCAGUGCAGGACAGAUGGGGACACCUGUCACAAGUUCAAGUACAGCUUCAUCCAAUUCAGAAAAUCUGUCAGCAUCUUCUAAAGCUCUGUUUCCUAGCACAGCACAAGCUCAGGCAGCUGUUCCAGGACCAGUGGGUACUGAUUUCAAACCUUUGAAUAAUACACCUGCAACAACCACAGAGCCCCCCAAACCUACAUUCCCUGCUUAUACACAGUCUACAGCUUCAACCACUAGCACAACAAACAGUACUGCAGCUAAACCAGCUACGUCUAUAACAAGUAAGCCUGCUACCCUUACAACAACCAGUGCAACCAGUAAGUUGAUCCAUCCAGAUGAGGAUAUAUCACUGGAAGAGAGAAGGGCACAGUUGCCCAAAUAUCAACGUAAUCUCCCUCGACAAGGACAGGUAUCCAUGGGCAAUCCAUCAGUUGGAUCGCUUGGAGGUAUGAUGCCACCACAACCUGGAAUUCCUCCACAGCAACAGGGAAUGAGACCUCCUAUGCCUCCUCAUGGUCAGUAUGGUGCUCAUCACCAAGGCAUGCCAGGAUACCUUCCUGGAGGGAUGCCUCCAUAUGGUCAGGGACCUCCAAUGGUGCCCCCUUACCAAGGUGGACCUCCUCGACCUCCAAUGGGAAUGAGACCUCCUGUAAUGUCGCAAGGUGGCCGCUACUGAUGCUACUACACACAGUCUAAUAGGUUUUUAGAAGUGAAGUAUAGUAAAUAUGGUUCGUUAAAUUGUGAAGGCGCUGGAAUUACAUGAACAUACCAUCUUAAAGCAGAAUUUCAGCAUUUGCUACUUACUGGUAGAGAAGAAAAAUCCCACAGCACUGCCAGUACAGGUCAGUGGAGGCGGGUUUCUACACAGCUGAGAUCCAGUUCCAUAGUGGCAAUUCCAGGCUCCUACCUGCUUCAAGGAUGUGCUGUGAAUUCAGAUUUAAAGGCAGAAGAAUCCUUAGAGUGGAUCAAGAGAGCAGCCUGCAGCAAAAAGGCAAGUUAAGCAGGCGUGAGCAUAGGAUUGGAGAAAGAUGGUCCAAUUCCUGUGAAGGGUAGGUAGAAGAAGGGGCAGCAGGCUAGUGUGGGGGUGGGAGAGAUUGGUGAUAUGGGGUUAAAACGGAAUGGGGAACAAAUUCACACUUUUAAAUAAACAGCAAGACCCUGGAACAGAUACGAGAGUGUGAUGGGUAUCUGCUACCUAUGCAAUCAAUAGCCCCCUAAAUUAUUUUGCAAAAGCAACUCUGGAUUGUACAAAUACUUUUUAAAGUUCUUUUCUUUUUAGCUGAUCUCUUAGCUUCUUGGUUUGGGGCCUGAUUCAAUGAAACCUUUCCCUUUGAGCAAAGUGGGAAUGUUAAUUCCUUGGCGGGGAGUGGUCACAGCCCACACACCCUGAAGUACACAAAAUGGGACCUGAAAAUGCAGUGAGUUUUUGAGGAAACGAAAGUUAUUUUUGACCGUCCUGGCUAAAAAGCUCCUCAAGGAGGCAGCAAAGUGUAAGAGCUGGAUGUAUUUCUAAGUUGUUAAGUUCCUGAUCAGAACCAACCCCGCUGGGAGGAUAAAAAUUACCUUUAUCCCGGCCCCCACUGAAGUUAGAGCAAUCCCCUGUGGGCUGCCCUAUGUUACAAUCCACUGCUUAUGGGCCUAAGGGGUUGUUUUGGCAGCCACAGAGUGGCUCUCAGUCCCAUUUCACUACCAUCAUAGCGUGGUGUAGAGUGAUUAUGCUGGUUUUGUACCACAAUGGGACCCUCCCCCAGUCCACACUAUGCGCGGGAGGAGGGUUGUCAGUGACUGACUGCAGUAGUUUUGUAGCCCAUAGGGCUAGCCUGCCUGCUUGCUUAUAUAUCUUUUCUUAUGGGUUUGAUUGUUUUCCUGCAUGUGAAAAGGGAAUAUAGAGAAACCAUGAACCCUGGGGGUCUAGUUUUCUGGAGGUCAAAAGGUUUGCAAAUCAGGGUCUUAGAUCUGGAAUUUCCCCAUCCUGAGUGACAGAAACCCAGAUCCUCAACAUCAGUGUUGGAAGUUAAGGGGGUGGGGAUCAAUGUAUAUUCUGAUCCUGCAGUUUAAUACAGAGCUGCUCCAAGGGGACAGGAUGGGUGGCCCUGUAUUUGUGUGGGGCAAUGCUAGGGUUGGGGACAUUCUCCAACCUCAUCAUGGGUCCGGCAGAGAGCGAUUAGCUGGCAAAGAUAAUGCCAUCGGGGGCUGCAUUACCCAGAGAUCCACCCAUGGGAUUUAAUCUGCAGAGAGAGUGGGGAGGCAGACAGUGAAUACAAACUGACAGGCAAAUCUUCCUCUUAGCCCGCUUCCACAGGCUUCUUGCAGAAGGGGCCAUUGGCCCCUAGAAACAGAUUCCUGCCCGAACAACAGGCCUCCCCGAGAGAGGAAAGGUUCAGAAUCUGGGAGCGGAAGGAAGACAAUAGGCCUCAGGGAACAUGGCCGUUGCAGUGCAAGGCUUCAUUCUUCUGAUCCCUGCUAUGCCUUAGGGAGAGUCACUAGCACUGAGUGACCCAGAACUAAAUACCCACAAAGAAUGUCAUAUUCAUCCCCAUCCACCGUGCCCAGCCCCUUUCCCGCCAAACUACAUUUAAUUAAGACGUCAAGGUACUGAAUUUUGAGCCAACUCUCAAGUAGUGCUACAGGGAAGGCUUACCUGACUCAGGCUGCAGCCGGGAAGAAGCUGCCUGCUCAUUCACUCACGGAAGCGCCAGUUCUGAGAGAGGAAACUUUCCCCUUUACAGUUGGAGAUUUGUUUGUGAAAAGAGGAACUGAUCACAGGGCUGGACAGUAGCCCAUGUUGGCUGAUGUCCCCAAAAGUGCGUGGGAGAGAGUGCGAGAACUUCUCCCCAGAAGUGAGCUUGAAACUUGUCUAAGUCUCCACCCACCAGACUGAGCCUGGCUAGAAAUCAUCAAGCACAAAGCGGGACACUUCCGUGUUGAGCUUUGAGCUCAGCUGUUUAGCUUGCCUUAGGCCUGGUCUAUGCAGUUUAUGGCCUGAUUUAACCAUGUAGGUUUUUCUUACUGAAAUAGCUAAAUCUGCACAACCCUCAUGUGUAACCAGUGCUGGUGUUCAGGUGCUUUAUAACACCUUUCCUUAGGGGAAUAAGCUAUCACAGUAUAAGCACCUUUUACCAAGGUAGCUGCCUCUGUGCUAGGGUGGUAGUACUGGUCUAGUUAAAGCAGUACAACAUUUGUGUGUAGGCAGCCCUUCGCUGCAGGCUGUACUGUUAGCCCUCCCAAAUGAAGCCCUGGUGGGGGGAUGACAAAGAACCCCUCCCCCCCCAGGGUGACUGGUCCAAGGUGCCCCCCUCCCGGUGUGAGUGCUGCUCCCUGUCGCCCAAGCGGGGCCAGCCCAAGGCCCCCCCCUCUCCCUGCUGGCCCAAACCCCCUUGCUGCCUGCCCAUGCGGGGCCAGCCUGAGGCCCCAUUCCCCCCCCGCCCCCCAAGCCUCCCUGUUGCUCUCCUUGGGCUGGCCCGGCCCGAGGCCCCCCCUUCAGCCCCCUGCAAGCAGGACCAGACUGAGCCCCCCCGCCCCCCCCCCCCCACAAGGCCAGCUCGAGGCCCCCCUCUAUCCCCUGCACAUGGGGCUGGCCCAAGAUCCCUGCCACCCGCCCAUGCAGAGCCCUGUGCCCUUCUAGAGGUUGCAACCCACUUUUUUGGAAAAAAAGGCGCUUUUGUCUACUUUGCUCUUGCCAACUGAUGAUCAGAUCAGUGGCAAGAGCAAAUGCCCAUGUUUGCCAAAAAAAGCAGGAUGGCCAGACAGGGCUUAUAAAAAGGGACUGUCCUAGCCAAAACAGGAUGUAGAGUCGCCCUACCAACCUUCCUUUCCAGAAAAACAACCCCACACUCCAGGUGUUUUGUAGGAAAUGUUCUCCAAUACAAGGAACUGUUUGGACACUACAGGGAUUGGCUGAAAAACCUUGGACUGUGCAUAAAUCAGGAAUUGCAGGGAGAUGUGCAGCUGGACCCUCAGUAAGAGGUUCUGCAGGAGCCCAAAGAGGGGCUGUGACCUGACACAACCCACAGAGCACCAAGGUCUCCCUCUUGCAGCAAAAGGAACAGGUGUUGGGGCAGGCUGUGGGUGUGCGUGAGAGAGAGAGACCCAUGCCAUGCACACACGCAUGCUCAUGGCUCCGUGAAGGAGCUGCCCCAGUUUAGCUGUGGAACAAGAGUGGAUUCCUCGCCCGCCCAACCACCCAGCCUCAGAUGGAUGGCAGCAAGUGGUGUUGGGAUGGGUCAUGAGGGCGAGGAAGUGGCUUACGUGAAGCAAAAACGUACAGGUAAUCUCUGGGCGCAGUUUAGAGGUGGACCAGCUGAAUGUCAUGCAGCCAGCUCAAGUGGCAUGGUGGGGGGUGGCCUGGGAGGCCUAUGGGGAAGAGGGCCUGAUGAUGCAUUCUGGAGGGCAAGGGGUGUGGGCUGGGCAGGGACCUUCCUGUAGGACCGCUACAGGAAGCAGAAGGCAUUGAUGCCCUCACUGCUGAAACAUUGGUCAGGGUGUGGCUGUGCAGCUGGCAGCAAAACGCCCAGGCAGGAGGGAGAGCUUUGCUGUUAGUUACUCCUUAAAUUACCUCUCCCCAGCUGCCUGCCCUGUGAUGUUGUCGGAUCACAUGUAGGGAGGCAGACACAGUAGUAAGGUCACAGAAUACCAUCUAGAAACAGAUCUUAGCCUGAACCCAUCUGUCUCUAGUUCCAGGGAGGGCAUGUAUAUCAGCUGCCCUGUUUAGACAUAUUACAGUAGUACUAGUAGCAUCAGCCAGGUUGCAGGGGUGCAUGCUGUACAUACCUAUGAUACAGGUGCUAUCACCAAUUUGUCAGAACAGGCUUUUGCUGUGAGGUGUCUCUGGGCCCAGGCUCAGUUCUAGGGAGCUGCUUUAAGAGCCAUAGUUCAAGGUUCUUUUGUUAAACCCCCAUUAUUGUUCAAAUGUCACAUUAAUCGCAAGCCACACCGAGCAGGGGGCAGCAGUGCUCUAAUUGAGUGGUUUUCGAACUGUGGGUUGGGACCCCAAAGUAGGUGAGCAGCCAGGCCAUGGUAAGAGUUGUGGGGGGGCAGCUGUGGGGAGCCUUAGACCCUCCACUUGCCUAGGAUGAGGGGGGUCAAGAGUUGCCCCUAACCCGUGUCCCUCCCUCCUCCAGGGCAGGUGGAGGGCCCACAGCUGCCCACGCUGCUCUUACCAUGGCUGUGCUGUGCCCCCCCGAGCACACCUCCAGCUGGAGCCUGGUCCAGGUGAGAGCUGCGCAGGCAGCUGUGGGGAGCCGCAGCCCCUCUUGCCUGGGGUGGGGCAGGGCAAGGACAUGGGCUGUGGGGGGCUGCUUAUGACCCCCACCCAUCGAAUGCUUGAGCACCCUUUAUCGCCAUCCACCGCUGUAUGCUGGUGUAAGAGAGGGGCGCCACUCACUCCCCACCUCAAUUCCUUUGUACUGGACAGACUCUGAUAGAGCCCUCAACUCAUCCACCCUCUGGCUGAGGUAAUUGCCAUAGAAAUGCUGCCAGCUGCACCCUUAUAGAGCUAAUAGCCAAACUCUGUUUUAAAAGACAAUCCAGCUAAAGGUCCUCAAGAGACCCCUUUCCUGCAAGACCAAAUGGAGAAGUGCUUCCACUUAGCCAGGUAAGUGUUUCUAGUUGUGUUUUUUCUGCUAUUCAGAAGCACUUUCUGAACAUCCUUCAAGCGGGACCUUUCAAAGGGUCUCAGCCAUGAAGUACUCACUCCAUCAGAUGGACAACUCAGAGACUAGGAUGGAGCAAGCACCUGUGGUCCUGGGAAAUUACAUCUGGAUCCAACUGGAGACACAGGAGGCUCGACCGACAAGAAUAGUAGGGUCGAGUACCAGUGUUGACGAGGCCAUGUCAGUGCUAGGAGGAUGAGGUGAGCAGGUCUUGUUUCACUUUGAAGAUGACCCUGGGAGGUAAAGGAAUCGGCAGGAAAGCAUACAGGAGGGAUUUCUUCCAGGAUAAGAGACAAGCAUCUGUCAGCGAGCGUGGGCUGAGCCCUUCCUGUGAACAGAACUGAUGACAUUUCCCCCAGAGAUGAAAGAUGGACCUGACCAUAUCUGGACCACUUGUGGUGAUCAGAGAAGGAUCUGUGCAGCUGAUCCACUAAUGUGUUCUGUUUCCCCAAAAGGCAAGCAGCUCUGAUAUGAACUGAGCUGGUUAUACAGAAGUCCCAGACGUGAAUUGCCUCCUGGCACAGUGGGUUUGACUGUGCUUCUCCUUGCCUGUUUAUGUAAAACAGGGUUGCCUAAUUGUCUGUCAGAAUUAAUAGAUUUUUUCCCACCGUGUUAGGGAGGAAGGCCAAGCAAGCUAGAUGUAUUGCUCUUAACUCCUUGACAUUUAUGAGUCUCUAGAUCUUGAGACGACCAAAGAUCUUGAGUCUACAGGGACCUCCUAUGAGCUCCCCAACCCAGAGAAGAUUCUUAUGUGACUAGAGGGAGGGUUGGAAGCGGGGGGAGAAAGGGAAAGUGUAGUCUGGCGUACUGAUCAACAUAGGUACAUGCUGCCCUGUGACCCAGAAGACUGAGGCAGCUGCAUACUGUUGUGAGAGGAUAUACUCUCAGUUGCAGCACUAGGUCCCAUAAAGUUUCAAACCUGGCUUGUGGAAGAAAGGCAUUGGCCUUCAUGGACUCUAAAGACUGCCCCGAUGAAUUCUGUUGUCUUUACCCAUUUCAGGAUUGAUUUGUCUCAAUUUACUAGGAUCCCCAGUGCAUUGAAUGUGGACAGGUUACUGGAUAUGCUGGAUAGGAUUUGAGCCUCAGACCAACCUCUGGCCAAGCAGUCGUCUAGGUAUGGGAACAUGUGGACACCUAAUUUUCAUAAGUGAGCUGCCACAACUGCCCUGCACCUUGUGAACACUUGAGGAGCAGCUAACGGACCAAAGAGAAGCACGGAUCUAUAUAUAGAAAGGAGUGAGGGAAGCACGUGAAUUAACAAGCCUGGAUCGCUCCGACGACUGUCACUGGCGGUAAGAAGGAACUCUGGUGGGUUGGGGGAAGCUCUGCUCUCUUACACCAGCACACAGUGGUGUGUGGCAACAGGGCGUUCACGCCACCCGUUCGGGUACUGCUGAGGGGGGAAAAUGUCCAAUAUCUUUGUACAGGAUGCGUGCACACCUAUAGUGGAAUGGACAUGUGCAAUCAAUUGAAGAAGAACAAACAGCGAUCUCACAGAUUACCUUAAUGGACAGUACUCAGCCAGUCAGGGUUGGUAGCUGAAGGACUCCAUUCUUAGAGAUGGGCCUUCCCCACGAUAAAUCUAUUGAACACCAACAAGAAUAACAAAUACCCUCUCUUCUGUUCCAGAGCAGGUGCCAGCCAGGGUCCCUCCAGAAUACUUACUGCGUGCCUUGGUCUCAAGGUCGACUUUAUGCCUUUCUCCUGAUACCCAAAGUCAUGAAGAUGAUCAGGCAGGGAGGAUAUGGCUACAGUGACACAAAAAGCCCCCUUAAUGGCCCAGAGCAUAUUUAGUAGCAGACUUACUGCACCUGUAAGUCUUAUCUCUGACUUAUCUCUCUCCCAGACUUGUAGACAAAUUCACCAGAACUUCCAAGUCUCCAACUGUUUAACCCUUUCAAGUCUCUACCAAGAGAAUUUAAAUCGAUUUCUACAGUUUAAAUAACAUGGAACACUUUGUGGCUGUUUGGCAGUGGGAGGCAGGGAGAAGCAUGCAGCGUGGGUUUUUAUAGUAAGGUAAAAUUAAAUCAGAUGGAUUUUAAAAAGCCCUUUGUAACAAUCCCCAUUUUGUAGCUUUCUUCUUCCAAACUUUGAGCAGAGGAGUUGGGCUUCAUCAGUGCUUAUAGGAAAAUAGGAGCUUAGUUUUCAGCUACUUUUAUAUUAACUAGUUGUACCUAGUCAAUGAGUAUCUCUAACAUCCUUUUUAGGGAAACCUUUCAUCUAACUACCCUCUGUCUUAUAUCUGUGAGAGAGAGAGCUCAAAUUAGGUUUCUGUUAAAGGGUUCUUUUGUCAAACUAACAGCAAGUGAUAUUUUAGUCUUCCAUGGAUGUUUGUGAGGUGGUGGUAAUGCAAUAAUUGUGAAAGAAGCAAAAUGCAAACUCCAAGAAUUCUUUAUAGAAGUCACUGUAUUGUAGUAAGUGCAAUAAAAACAGACAGUGAAUCAGUACAAUUAAGAUACUUGUGCUGAGUGUUUGUCUUUUCAAAAUUAAUAAGUUAAAAUAUAAAAACUAUAUGUUCAAACAAAUUACAUUAGGAAAUCAGUAUACAUGUAAAUCCUAAAACUAAGUAACAGGAGGAUGUAACAAUAAGCAGUACAGUUUCUUAAAGAAUUUAGCCUUCCACAGUGUUAGAACUUCUUCAGUUUAGUUUCUUACCAUAGACAAACUUCGUAAAAUUGUAAUGAUGCUUCUCUUUUUUAAAAAAAAAAUCUUCAAACUACUAUAUUUCUCCUCUCCAAAAUCAACAGUUGUUUUGUUGCUUUAUUGAAUUUGGUUAUUUAAUACAGAUAACUUUCACAGCUAGUGUGCCUGGUACUAUACAACGGAUGAAGUGUGCUGAAUAGUUAUGGUACUAUAGUAUACAUAACUGGUGUGGUAGAGAUAGUUUAUUAAUAGCUAUCAAUUGUUCUCCAUGUCCAAUGGAGGUAGAACAAGAAGCAACGGGCUUAACCUGCACCAAUGGAGGUUUAGGUUAGAUAUUAAGAAAACCUUUCUAACUAUAAGAGUAGUUAAGCUCUGGAAUAGGAUUCCAAGGGAGGCUGUGGAAUCCCCAUUAUUGGAGGUUUUUAAGAACAAGUUGGACAAACACCUGCCAGGGAUGGUCUAGGUUUACUUGGUCCUGCCUCAGCAUGGGUGGCUGGAGUAGAUGACCUCUCAAGGUCCCUUCCAGCUCUACAUUUUUAUGAUUCCAUGACUUAGCUGUGGGCCAAUCUGCAAAAACCAAUAAGUAUCACAAUAAAACUUAAAACUAAAUCCAAAAUUAUAAAAUGUUAAAAUAUUUAUAAAUACAGGUUAAAAAAGACAUACACCAUUAAUCUGUAUAUGAUCAUCAUACCGCUAGCUUUUUCCUUAUACUAUAAAUGGCAUGAUAAUAUACCUAUCUAUAUAUGGUAAUAUACAUAAGUAUUUUAUAUGGGUCACCUUAAAAUAUAAUCUUCCCUCUUACUUUCCCUGAAAAGAUCAAAACCAAAUUAUAGGUUGCAAUUAAUUACAGCCAAGAUUGUAUCUGCCAAUAAUUCAUUUACUAAGUCAAAAAAGGAAAAUAAAUUACCUGUAUUACCUACUGUGGAAUCUGCUGUCCACAUACUGCAGUAAAGACUAGUAUUGAUGUCACUUAAGUUGGUACAUGUUCAGUCUAGUGGUGAAUUUGGCUCCAUAUUGAUAAACAAUUACUUUCUUCUGGGCUUUCAAACACCACAAAAAAAACCCAACAACAAAACUUGACUAUACAUGACCAUUACAGUUCCCAGGAUAUUCUGCAUGGGAGUUAGAGGG